GACGAACGCUGGCGGCGUGCCUAAUACAUGCAAGUCGAACGGUUUAGUUCCAAGAGGCUUGCCUUUUGGAACUAGACAGUGGCGGACGGGUGAGUAACACGUAGGCAACCCACCUGUCAAACCGGGAUAACCUCGGGAAACCGAAGCUAAACCCGGAUAAGCUCCUUUUUCGCAUGAAGGGGGAGUGAAAAGGUGCGACCUGAUGACAGAUGGGCCUGCGGCGCAUUAGCUAGUAGGUAGGGUAACGGCCUACCUAGGCGAUGAUGCGUAGCCGACCUGAGAGGGCGUACGGCCACACUGGGACUGAGAUACGGCCCAGACUCCUACGGGAGGCAGCAGUAGGGAAUCUUCGGCAAUGGGCGAAAGCCUGACCGAGCAACGCGGCGUGAGUGAGGAAGGCCUUCGGGUUGUAAAACUCUGUUGUUUGGGAAGAAGGGAAAGGGUAGGACCCUUAGGUGACGGUACCAAACGAGAAAGCCCCGGCUAACUACGU
RNAcentral lists this ribosomal RNA (493 nucleotides) under uncultured bacterium. RNAcentral describes it as "partial 16S ribosomal RNA". It matches the Rfam family "Bacterial small subunit ribosomal RNA", at positions 28 to 506 of the family's 1533-position model. The record is from RNAcentral.